AUCGAAUAUUCAUUCUUUAAAAGAUGAACAGAGAACUUUUCACUGCCGUUAUCCAAUAUGUCGGCUGUUCUGUUUUGGAUUUCCCCAGCGUCGCUCUCAUCAGCGUCACGGGUUGAUUUCGAUGCCCCACCUUCUGAAAUACAUCUCCUAUUGAGAAAUCCCAGAUCUUUGUGUGGAGCUCAGCGAACUACGAGGAUCUGACGAGAGUCAGGUUAGGAGUCCACAGCCCUAUGUGAAAUAUGGGAUGCUGGCAGGAGACUUCAUGUUGGCAACAAACAUCCUCCUCUCCGGAAGCAACUAUGCCAAAGUGUCACUGUUGUUUCAAUUUAUGAACAUGGGGAUGGUGGAUCAUAGUUCCUUCUUCACAGCGCAGGACACAUACCUUGUGGUCACUUCGAAAGAGUUUUGGUAGGAGAGGAGGGCCAGGGCCAUACAUUGUCUAAAAGACAAAGAUGUUGUGAUCGUAGGGGAUGGAAGAGUGGACAAUCCCGGACUUUGAGCCCAGUACUGUACCUACACUGCAAUGGAGAAUGAUUCCAGGGAAAUAAUUAUCUGUCAUCACUGUGGACAAAAGGGCGACCGGUCGAAAUGUGGUGUUAAUGGAGAGAGAGGCAUUUGUGAGGACAGUUAUCAUAAUCUCACACUGCUACCAAAGAGCACCUGUCAUACAGUUCAGGCCAAACAAAGCACUCUUCCUUAUACACUUUUCGCAACUAACUUUGGUUUCUAUGUAUCUGUCCUCAGUUCCAGCAUUUCAGACUGAAGACUCAUGAAGCCCAGUUUCAAGAGACAUUCUAACUGGGCUGUUAUUAUUGACAUUGAACAUUGUGUCACAACCUGCCUAUCAACUGCUGGUUGUGUGGUCAUCUGUUUAUC
Entelurus aequoreus (snake pipefish) is the source of this 876-nucleotide long non-coding RNA. RefSeq lists it as uncharacterized. The transcript is spliced from 3 exons. The record is from RefSeq and is a predicted model, not a curated record. Lineage: Eukaryota; Metazoa; Chordata; Actinopteri; Syngnathiformes; Syngnathidae.